CACGUAGGGGGCGAGCGUUGUCCGGAUUCAUUGGGCGUAAAGAGCUCGUAGGCGGCUCAGCAAGUCGGGUGUGAAACCUCCAGGCUCAACCUGGAGACGCCACUCGAUACUGCUGUGGCUAGAGUCCAGUAGGGGAGCGUGGAAUUCCUGGUGUAGCGGUGAGAUGCGCAGAUAUCAGGAGGAACACCAGCGGCGAAGGCGGCGCUCUGGGCUGGAACUGACGCUGAGGAGCGAAAGCGUGGGGAGCAAACAGG
RNAcentral lists this ribosomal RNA (254 nucleotides) under uncultured bacterium. Its description in RNAcentral is "partial 16S ribosomal RNA". It matches the Rfam family "Bacterial small subunit ribosomal RNA", at positions 524 to 776 of the family's 1533-position model. The record is from RNAcentral.